AUGGUCCGGUGAAGUGUUCGGAUCGCGGCGACGUGGGCGGUUCGCUGCCCGCGACGUCGCGAGAAGUCCACUGAACCUUAUCAUUUAGAGGAAGGAGAAGUCGUAACAAGGUUUCCGUAGGUGAACCUGCGGAAGGAUCAUUGUCGAGACCCGUAAAUCAGACCGCGAACACGUGUUAAUAACAUUCGCCCGCUCGACGCUUGCGUCCAGAGGGCUCACGAACCCCGGCGCGGCAUGCGCCAAGGAAAACUGAAAGGAAGCGUCGCACCCCAAGAUGCCCGUUCGCGGUGCGUUUUGGGAACGUGACGUCUCUCCAACGUCUAAACGACUCUCGGCAACGGAUAUCUCGGCUCUCGCAUCGAUGAAGAACGUAGCGAAAUGCGAUACUUGGUGUGAAUUGCAGAAUCCCGCGAACCAUCGAGUCUUUGAACGCAAGUUGCGCCCGAAGCCUCCUGGCCGAGGGCACGCCUGCCUGGGCGUCACGCAUCGCGUCGCCCCCUCCGACAUCCCUAGGGAUUUACGAGUGGGAGCGGAAAAUGGUCUCCCGCGUGCCGCUGUGCUCGUGGCUGGCUCAAAUAAGAUCCUGCAUCGACGGAUGACACGACCAGUGGUGGUUGAAAACUCAAUCGUGCUGUCGUGCAUCGCCACGUCGUUUGCGAGGUAUUCGUUCGAAACGACGGCGCUUCGUGCGCCUUCGACCGCGACCCCAGGUCAGGCGGGACUACCCGCUGAGUUUAAGCAUAUC
Molecule: ribosomal RNA, 745 nt
Filed under: Veronica calycina
Lineage: Eukaryota; Viridiplantae; Streptophyta; Magnoliopsida; Lamiales; Plantaginaceae
Description: eukaryotic LSU rRNA
Rfam family: 5.8S ribosomal RNA (bases 327-482)
Source: RNAcentral